GGUUAAAAAGCUCGUAGUUGGAUUUCUGCUGUGGGCAGCCGGUCCACACUAUGUGUGAGUAUCUGGUUCGACCACGGCAUCCUCUCGAUAAACGUUGGCGCGCUUCAUUGCGUGGCACGGGCUCGGGACUUUUACUUUGAGGAAAUUAGAGUGUUCACGGCAGGCGUUUGCCUUGAAUAUAUUAGCAUGGAAUAAUGAUAUAGGCGACUGAGUCUAUUUUGUUGGUUUCUAGGCUCAGUUGAAUGAUUAAUAGGGACAGUUGGGGGCAUUCGUAUUAUGACGUCAGAGGUGGAAUUCUUGGAUUGUCAUACGACGAACUACUGCGAAAGCAUUUGCCAAGGAUGUUUUCAUUGAUCAAGAACGAAAGUAAGGGGAUCGAAGACGAUUAGAUACCGUCGUAGUCUUUACCAUAAACUAUGCCGACUAGAGAUUGGAGGUCGUUCUUUGUAUGACUCCUUCAGCACCUUAUGAGAAAUCAAAGUUUUUGGGUUCCGGGGGGAGUAUGGUCGCAAGGCUGGAACUUAAAGGAAUUGACGGAAGGGCACCACCAGG
Molecule: ribosomal RNA, 552 nt
Filed under: uncultured marine eukaryote
Lineage: Eukaryota
Description: SSU rRNA
Rfam family: Eukaryotic small subunit ribosomal RNA
Source: RNAcentral